CCUACGGGAGGCAGCAGUGGGGAAUUUUGGACAAUGGGCGAAAGCCUGAUCCAGCAAUGCCGCGUGUGGGAAGAAGGCCUUCGGGUUGUAAACCACUUUUGUACGGAACGAAACGGCUCGCUUUAAUACAGUGGGCUAAUGACGGUACCGUAAGAAUAAGCACCGGCUAACUACGUGCCAGCAGCCGCGGUAAUACGUAGGGUGCGAGCGUUAAUCGGAAUUACUGGGCGUAAAGCGUGCGCAGGCGGUUAUAUAAGACAGUUGUGAAAUCCCCGGGCUCAACCUGGGAAUUGCAUCUGUGACUGUAUAGCUAGAGUACGGUAGAGGGGGAUGGAAUUCCGCGUGUAGCAGUGAAAUGCGUAGAUAUGCGGAGGAACACCGAUGGCGAAGGCAAUCCCCUGGACCUGUACUGACGCUCAUGCACGAAAGCGUGGGGAGCAAACAGGAUUAGAUACCCUGGUAGUCCACGCCCUAAACGAUGUCAACUGGUUGUUGGGUGCAUUAGUACUCAGUAACGAAGCUAACGCGUGAAGUUGACCGCCUGGGGAGUACGGCCGCAGGUUGAACGUCAAAUGAAUUGACGG
This 584-nucleotide ribosomal RNA is filed under the name uncultured bacterium. RNAcentral describes it as "bacterial SSU rRNA". It matches the Rfam family "Bacterial small subunit ribosomal RNA", at positions 338 to 916 of the family's 1533-position model. The record is from RNAcentral.